This 253-nucleotide ribosomal RNA is filed under the name uncultured bacterium. Its description in RNAcentral is "partial 16S ribosomal RNA". It matches the Rfam family "Bacterial small subunit ribosomal RNA", at positions 524 to 776 of the family's 1533-position model. The record is from RNAcentral.
GACGGAAGGUGCAAACGUUGCUCGGAAUUACUGGGCGUAAAGCGCGUGUAGGCGGCCCUGCAAGUCGGGUGUGAAAUCCCAUGGCUCAACUAUGGAAGUGCACUCGAAACUGCAGGGCUAGAGUCCUGGAGAGGAAGGUGGAAUGCUUGGUGUAGAGGUGAAAUUCGUAGAUAUCAAGCGGAACACCGGUGGCGAAGGCGGCCUUCUGGACAGUGACUGACGCUGAGACGCGAAAGCGUGGGGAGCAAACAGG